RNAcentral lists this ribosomal RNA (484 nucleotides) under uncultured bacterium. RNAcentral's name for it is "partial 16S ribosomal RNA". It matches the Rfam family "Bacterial small subunit ribosomal RNA", at positions 28 to 507 of the family's 1533-position model. The record is from RNAcentral.
AUUGAACGCUGGCGGCAUGCUUUACACAUGCAAGUCGAACGGCAGCGCGGGCUUCGGCCUGGCGGCGCGUGGCGAACGGGUGAGUAAUGCAUCGGAACGUGCCCAGUAGUGGGGGAUAGCCCGGCGAAAGCCGGAUUAAUACCGCAUACGACCUGAGGGUGAAAGCGGGGGACCGAAAGGCCUCGCGCUAUUGUAGCGGCCGACGUCGGACUAGCUAGUUGGUGGGGUAAAGGCUUACCAAGCCGACGAUCCGUAGCUGGUCUGAGAGGACGACCAGCCACACUGGGACUGAGACACGGCCCAGACUCCUACGGGAGGCAGCAGUGGGGAAUGUUGGACAAUGGGGGCAACCCUGAUCCAGCCAUGCCGCGUGCGGGAAGAAGGCCUUCGGGUUGUAAACCGCUUUUGUUCGGGAAGAAAUCCUCUGGGCUAAUACCCCGGGGGGAUGACGGUACCGGAAGAAUAAGCACCGGCUAACUACGUG